GAUGAACGCUGGCGGCGUGCCUAAUACAUGCAAGUCGAACGAGGUGCUUUUGUAGCAAUACGAGAGUAUCCUAGUGGCGAACGGGUGAGUAACGCGUUGGUGACCUACCCCAAAGUGUGGGAUAACAGUCCGAAAGGAUUGCUAAUACCGCAUGUGGUCUUCGGAUUUAGAAACUGAUGACUAAAGGAGCAAUUCGCUUUGGGAGGGACCUGCGUCCCAUCAGCUAGUUGGUGAGGUAAUGGCUCACCAAGGCUACGACGGGUAGGGGACCUGAGAGGGUGACCCCCCACAAUGGAACUGAAACACGGUCCAUACACCUACGGGUGGCAGCAGUAGGGAAUAUUGCACAAUGGGCGAAAGCCUGAUGCAGCAACGCCGCGUGUGCGAUGAAGGCCUUCGGGUCGUAAAGCACUUUUCUGGGAGAUGAGCAAGGACAGUAUCUCAGGAAUAAGUCUCGGCUAACUACGUGCCA
RNAcentral lists this ribosomal RNA (472 nucleotides) under uncultured bacterium. RNAcentral describes it as "bacterial SSU rRNA". It matches the Rfam family "Bacterial small subunit ribosomal RNA", at positions 28 to 510 of the family's 1533-position model. The record is from RNAcentral.